AUUGAACGCUGGCGGCAUGCUUUACACAUGCAAGUCGAACGGCAGCGCGGGCUUCGGCCUGGCGGCGAGUGGCGAACGGGUGAGUAAUGCAUCGGAACGUGGCCAGUAGUGGGGGAUAGCCCGGCGAAAGCCGGAUUAAUACCGCAUACGACCUGAGGGUGAAAGCGGGGGACCGAAAGGCCUCGCGCUAUUGGAGCGGCCGAUGUCGGAUUAGCUAGUUGGUGGGGUAAAGGCUUACCAAGGCGACGAUCCGUAGCUGGUCUGAGAGGACGACCAGCCACACUGGGACUGAGACACGGCCCAGACUCCUACGGGAGGCAGCAGUGGGGAAUUUUGGACAAUGGGGGCAACCCUGAUCCAGCCAUGCCGCGUGCGGGAAGAAGGCCUUCGGGUUGUAAACCGCUUUUGUUCGGGAAGAAAUCCUCUGGGCUAAUACCCCGGGGGGAUGACGGUACCGGAAGAAUAAGCACCGGCUAACUACGUG
This 484-nucleotide ribosomal RNA is filed under the name uncultured bacterium. RNAcentral describes it as "partial 16S ribosomal RNA". It matches the Rfam family "Bacterial small subunit ribosomal RNA", at positions 28 to 507 of the family's 1533-position model. The record is from RNAcentral.